UGAAGAAAAAGCAUCGGCUAACUCCGUGCCAGCAGCCGCGGUAAUACGGAGGAUGCAAGCGUUAUCCGGAAUCAUUGGGCGUAAAGGGUCCGCAGGUGGCGAAUAAAGUCUGCUGUUAAAGACCGGGGCUUAACUCCGGAAAGGCAGUGGAAACUGAUUAGCUAGAGUACGGUAGGGGUAGAGGGAAUUCCCAGUGUAGCGGUGAAAUGCGUAGAUAUUGGGAAGAACACCGGUGGCGAAAGCGCUCUACUAGGCCGAAACUGACACUGAGGGACGAAAGCUAGGGUAGCGAAAGGGAUUAGAUACCCCUGUAGUCUUAGCGGUAAACGAUGGAUACUAGGUGUAGCUUGUAUCGACCCAAGCUGUGCCGAAGCUAACGCGAUAAGUAUCCCGCCUGGGGAGUACGCACGCAAGUGUGAAACUCAAAGGAAUUGACGGGGGCCCGCACAAGCGGUGGAGUAUGUGGUUUAAUUCGAUGCAACGCGAAGAACCUUACCAGGGCUUGACAUGUCGCGAAUCUAGCGGAAACGUUAGAGUGCCUUAGGGAAUGCGAACACAGGUGGUGCAUGGCUGUCGUCAGCUCGUGUCGUGAGAUGUUGGGUUAAGUCCCGCAACGAGCGCAACCCUCGUCCUUAGUUGCCAAUAUUAAGUUAGGCACUCUAGGGAGACUGCCGGGGACAACUCGGAGGAAGGUGGGGAUGACGUCAAGUCAGCAUGCCCCUUACGUCCUGGGCGACACACGUACUACAAUGGUUGGGACAAAGGGCAGCAAGCUCGCGAGAGUAAGCGAAUCUCAUCAAACCCAGCCACAGUUCAGAUUGCAGGCUGCAACUCGCCUGCAUGAAGUAGGAAUCGCUAGUAAUCGCAGGUCAGCAUACUGCGGUGAAUUCGUUCCCGGGCCUUGUACACACCGCCCGUCACACCAUGGAAGCUGGCUACGCCCGAAGUCGUUACCCUAACCCGGUUUUGGGAGGGGGAUGCCGAAGGUAGAGCUAGUGACUGGGGUGAAGUCGUAACAAGGUAGCCGUACCGGAAGGUGUGGCUGGAUCACCUCCUUU
This 1058-nucleotide ribosomal RNA is filed under the name uncultured cyanobacterium. RNAcentral's name for it is "bacterial SSU rRNA". It matches the Rfam family "Bacterial small subunit ribosomal RNA", at positions 480 to 1533 of the family's 1533-position model. The record is from RNAcentral. Lineage: Bacteria; Bacillati; Cyanobacteriota.